Molecule: ribosomal RNA, 464 nt
Filed under: uncultured bacterium
Lineage: Bacteria
Description: bacterial SSU rRNA
Rfam family: Bacterial small subunit ribosomal RNA
Source: RNAcentral
UCAGAACGAACGCUGGCGGCAGGUCUUAGGCAUGCAAGUCGAACGGAUGACAAGGGAGCUUGCUCCUUGAAGUCAGUGGCGCACGAGUGAGUAACGCGUGGGAAACUGCCCUUCACUGGGGAAUAACGUUUGGAAACGAACGCUAAUACCGCAUACGCCCGCAAGGGGAAAGAUUUAUCGGUGAUGGAUGUGCCCGCGUUGGAUUAGCUAGUUGGUGGGGUAAUGGCCUACCAAGGCGAUGAUCCAUAGCUGGUCUGAGAGGACGAUCAGCCACGCUGGAACUGAGACACGGUCCAGACUCCUACGGGAGGCAGCAGCUAAGAAUAUUGGGCAAUGGAGGAAACUCUGACCCAGCCCAUGCCGCGUGAAUGAAGAAGGCCUUCGGGUUGUAAAGUUCUUUUAGUCAUGAAGAUGAUGACAGUAGUGACAGAAAAAGCACCGGCUAACUUCGUGCCAGCCGCCGC